ACUCUGGUAUUGAUUGGUGCUUGCAUCAUGAUUUACAUUUGAGUGAGUGGCGAACUGGUGAGUAACACGUGGGAAACCUGCCCAGAAGCGGGGGAUAACACCUGGAAACAGAUGCUAAUACCGCAUAACAACUUGGACCGCAUGGUCCGAGNUUGAAAGAUGGCUUCGGCUAUCACUUNUGGAUGGUCCCGCGGCGUAUUAGCUAGAUGGUGAGGUAACGGCUCACCAUGGCAAUGAUACGUAGCCGACCUGAGAGGGUAAUCGGCCACAUUGGGACUGAGACACGGCCCAAACUCCUACGGGAGGCAGCAGUAGGGAAUCUUCCACAAUGGACGAAAGUCUGAUGGAGCAACGCCGCGUGAGUGAAGAAGGGUUUCGGCUCGUAAAACUCUGUUGUUAAAGAAGAACAUAUCUGAGAGUAACUGUUCAGGUAUUGACGGUAUUUAACCAGAAAGCCACGGCUAACUACGUGCCAGCAGCCGCGGUAAUACGUAGGUGGCAAGCGUUGUCCGGAUUUAUUGGGCGUAAAGCGAGCGCAGGCGGUUUUUUAAGUCUGAUGUGAAAGCCUUCGGCUCAACCGAAGAAGUGCAUCGGAAACUGGGAAACUUGAGUGCAGAAGAGGACAGUGGAACUCCAUGUGUAGCGGUGAAAUGCGUAGAUAUAUGGAAGAACACCAGUGGCGAAGGCGGCUGUCUGGUCUGUAACUGACGCUGAGGCUCGAAAGUAUGGGUAGCAAACAGGAUUAGAUACCCUGGUAGUCCAUACCGUAAACGAUGAAUGCUAAGUGUUGGAGGGUUUCCGCCCUUCAGUGCUGCAGCUAACGCAUUAAGCAUUCCGCCUGGGGAGUACGGCCGCAAGGCUGAAACUCAAAGGAAUUGACGGGGGCCCGCACAAGCGGUGGAGCAUGUGGUUUAAUUCGAAGCUACCCGAAGAACCUUACCAGGUCUUGACAUACUAUGCAAAUCUAA
RNAcentral lists this ribosomal RNA (968 nucleotides) under Lactiplantibacillus plantarum. RNAcentral describes it as "bacterial SSU rRNA". It matches the Rfam family "Bacterial small subunit ribosomal RNA", at positions 66 to 1002 of the family's 1533-position model. Lineage: Bacteria; Bacillati; Bacillota; Bacilli; Lactobacillales; Lactobacillaceae. The record is from RNAcentral.